ACUCCUACGGGAGGCAGCAGUAGGGAAUAUUGGUCAAUGGGCGAGGGCCUGAACCAGCCAUGCCGCGUGCAGGAAGACGGCCUUCUGGGUUGUAAACUGCUUUUGGCCGGGAACAAAAAGCCCCUGCGGGGGAAAUUGAGUGUACCGGCAGAAUAAGCACCGGCUAACUCCGUGCCAGCAGCCGCGGUAAUACGGAGGGUGCAAGCGUUGUCCGGAUUUAUUGGGUUUAAAGGGUGCGUAGGCGGGCCAAUAAGUCAGUGGUGAAAGCCCACAGCUCAACUG
RNAcentral lists this ribosomal RNA (282 nucleotides) under uncultured bacterium. Its description in RNAcentral is "partial 16S ribosomal RNA". It matches the Rfam family "Bacterial small subunit ribosomal RNA", at positions 335 to 615 of the family's 1533-position model. The record is from RNAcentral.